Molecule: transfer RNA, 72 nt
Organism: Camelus ferus (Wild Bactrian camel)
Lineage: Eukaryota; Metazoa; Chordata; Mammalia; Artiodactyla; Camelidae
Rfam family: tRNA
About the family: Transfer RNA (tRNA) molecules are approximately 80 nucleotides in length. Their secondary structure includes four short double-helical elements and three loops (D, anti-codon, and T loops). Further hydrogen bonds mediate the characteristic L-shaped molecular structure. tRNAs have two regions of fundamental functional importance: the anti-codon, which is responsible for specific mRNA codon recognition, and the 3' end, to which the tRNAs corresponding amino acid is attached (by aminoacyl-tRNA synthetases). tRNAs cope with the degeneracy of the genetic code in two manners: having more than one tRNA (with a specific anti-codon) for a particular amino acid; and 'wobble' base-pairing, i.e. permitting non-standard base-pairing at the 3rd anti-codon position.
Source: Rfam
GAGGGUAUAGCUCAGUGGUACAGCGCAUGCUUAGCAUGCACGAGGUCCUGGGUUCAAUCCCCAGAACCUCCU